CCUUGGACCGCAUUAGCGUUUCAUUGGCGGGCUAGAACUGGUUGCUUAGGCAACCGGGCCUGAAUGGUCCGCCAGGAGGCGGGGCCUCUGGCCGCAUCAAAGAGGGAUUGGCUGGAUCUGAGCCGGUUGCUGAGGCAACCGGGUAGCGGUUUACCUGCGAGGGGGCGUGGCCUGCUUUAAAUCCCAGAAUUUAGCCACAGGGGUACGCAUCGCCACGACUGCCUUUCUGUAUUGGCGGCGCAGGCCGUGAGUGUACUCACCUGGCCAAGACUGCAGCAGGUCCUCGGAGAGGCAGACAGCUGCACUGUCUCGCUCAAAGGCAUCCCGAAGCUCUUUCUUCACUGCUGCUGAGCCACACAGACGCCCCAGAUUCAAGGAGAGGAGAAGGCCUCACCUCUGUCAGUGGAAGGCAUGUCAAGUGUUCAGAGUGGAUUUAAAGCUGAAAUCAGAUUAUGGCAUCUUCCUGCUGAAAUAGUCUGCCCAUGAUUGUUCAUUCCACCCAAAAUAAAAUUCAGAUUCCCAUCAUAA
Molecule: non-coding RNA, 528 nt
Organism: Ictidomys tridecemlineatus (thirteen-lined ground squirrel)
Lineage: Eukaryota; Metazoa; Chordata; Mammalia; Rodentia; Sciuridae
Source: RefSeq, a predicted model, not a curated record